GCCAUGGUUUUCAGCGCCCAACUUUGACCAUUCUUCUUAUUUGAAAAUUUUUUGAAAAAAAUUAAAAACAUAAGUCACGAGUAAAGUACUAUUCAUGUUUUAUCAUCUUAUAACAACAAAAUUACUAAGUAUAAAAAAAUUUCAAAUAAGACGGACGAUCAAAGUUCGGCGCGGAAACUCAUGGUUGCACUUAUUUUGGGACGGAGGUAGUAAGUCAUAAGUACAUGAUUUGAGUAUUAAUUUACUGUAAACUUAAAAAUGAGUCUAUUUGAUUUUUUUACAAAGAUUUUUGCAUAGAAAAUUUUUGUAUGAAACGUACUCCCUCCGUUUUUUAAUAGAUGACGCCGUUGAUUUUUUUCUCACAUGUUUGACCAUUCGUCUUAUUCAAAAAUCUUAUGCAAAUAUAUAAGAUAUAAAUCACACUUAAAGUACUAUGAGUGAUAAAACAACUCAUAACAAAAUAAAUUAUAAUUACGUAAUUUUUUUGAAUAAGAUGAAUGGUCAAACAUGUGAAAAAAAAUUAACGGUGUCAUCUAUUAAAAAUCGGAGAUAGUACUAUUUAACAUUUUAAGAAUCGUGCUUACAAAGAAGGAGGAUAAGAUGCCAAACCCAAACUCACUUCCCAACUCAUCCUUAGCACCAUUGUCAGCACGUGACCGGACCUUAUCAUCCAACUAUGCACAUAAAUUGAGUGGCCGUACUAGGUUUUUAUAUUUUGAAAACAACCAAAUACAUUGCACAGCAUACAAAAUUAGGUCUCUCCCUGGAAUGUUACUGUUUUUUUUCCUAAAACUGAGGAGAUUUAUGUAAAAAAAGAAGAGAACUUUUACGGUACAAUAUACUACCAGUAUAUACUGGCAGUAUAUCAAAGGGCAUAUUAGGAAUUUGAUAGAAAAUAAAACAACACUUUAGUAAUUUUUGGUUCAAUUUGAAUUUAAUUGAGAGUACCUGGUUCCUGGAUCUUAUCGUGCACUAGGAGAGGAGCAUCCUGAGCGCCAUUUAAUGACAAAGCACGUGACGAUAGCACGAUUUGAUGAUAGAAUAACGAAGAAAAGAUAAAAUUAUCCUUUCAAACUUUAUACUGCAAUCUAAUUAAAUAAAAAAAUUAAAUCAAUCUACACCGUUAGAUCAUAUAUACUUACAGUAUAUACUAGCAGUAUAUUGUACCGUAAAAAUCCUCAAAAAGAAAACCCGCAAAAUUUCCAUGGAACUCAUUAUAGUGUAGAGUUUUUUUUUUGGGGGGGGGGGGGGGUUGGGGAAUUAUAGUGUAGAGUUGGGUGGAUGUAUAUUGCCAUGAAAGAAAAGCAGUAGGUGGACCGUUGAGGAGUUGACGGCAGGCAAUCGAGGAGCAGACAGUAGUGUUGAAAAUGUCACCCGGUUGCUUGUCGCUGGGCCGCAAGGACGCAACUUGCGCCCGCGGGAUGUCGCCACGGCCACGUUAGAACAAGAGGCCGUCCACCGGUUUUAUUCCUUGGAAACACUAGAAAUGUCGUCACGGCGAUACGAAAAGUCACCGUGCACACCCCCGCCCGGGCUGCUCCCUGACGCCGCAUCGAACAAACAAGCACACGUAUGCCGAUUGGCACCAUCCACGACCAUGGAAUGGAGCUAGCAGCUGAGAUCGGUUCGCAGAGAUCAAAACGUACAUUACCGAUAUCACAUCCACGGACGAAGAAAUCGGAGCGGUCAAUAACUGCAACCUAAACCCAGAUCGGCACGUUGAGCAGGGAGAAAUCGACCAAUAAUAACCAAUCAUGCAUCAAGUUGGUAGUGCUAUACAGUCUGCUGCUGCUUCUUGUCUCUCUGUUUUUUUUUUUUUUUGAAAGGAGUCUGCUUCUUCUACUGCUAGCUAACCUACUGAAUGCAUACAUGGACUGCUCAACGCACGACCGAGCCCGCACAGGUCGGUCUUUCACAGAUUAUAUACACAUGAGAGAGAGAUCGAAGGGCACGGCCGGUUGGUCGAUCGGUGUACGGUGCACGGCAUGUUGUUCGCGCUCCGAUCCGUCGCGCGCGCGCGGUGCGGGAUCGUGACGGACGGUCGGCCCCGGCCUUGGCGAGAUCGAUCGAUCGAUCGGUGGUCCCUCACGCGACGAACCCGAGGAAGCUGCACGGCCAGACAGACACAGGAGUUGGCAACGGUAGUAUAGUAGGAUGAGCGGCUGCAUAUCGAGAUGAGGAGAGGAGGAGAGCAAGAGCAACCGGCGCGAAGCCGCGCCCGCGCGUGCGUGCGUGUGCGUUCACCUGAUGGGGCGCGCGACGGCGCCGCGGCGAGCGAAGAGCGCGCGGAGGAGGAAGUUGGCGCCGUGGAGGAGCAGCACCACGCUGCUGCACCCCACCAGCAGUAGCUCCAGCAUGCUUGCACACAGCCGCAGGCUUCGGACGAAAUCGAUCAAUAGGUAGGUGAUCCGUGCUCGAUCCGUCCGAGCGCGUGGUGAUCCGUAAAUAGGUAGGUCGAGUUGCUUGCUUGCUCGAUCGGUCGAGGAGUCAAAGGUUUGCUUCGAAGCAAUCUGCCGAUCUGAUCUGCACGGGAGGGUUUUCUUCUUGCUGUCUCUCUUUCCCUUGUUAAUUCGGUCCUGGGAUUUGAUUAGCGGGAGGGGAGAGGCAACUACAACUAGGAAACGGGAAGGCUUUGCUUUGCUUGCUGUUUCUGUGCUGCUGUUGGGUUUUGAUUCGCUGUUGCUUUCGGCGGGAUACAUUACUGGGGUAUUUUGACGGGACCGGGGACACAGAAAUCUGGAGGAGAGGAAGUCCUGGAUAGAAACGAGAGGUCGGGGCCGACGUGGUUAACCCAGCCUGCCUGCACCGCACACUUGUUUUUAAUAAUAAGUUAUAAAAACAACUAAAAAAAAUACUGAGAUUACAUCAUUAUCAUGAUAAUGAUGACGAUGAUGCAAUAUUGUAGUACUCCUUAGUAGCAAGCUGUCAUCACGAAUUCACGAUGCAGAGUUCAGACCGGUGUUCCUCUCGGAUGCAACCAGCACGGUAAUCCACUGAAUUAUUGGGCCAUCUUUUUUCCCAUGGCUGUGAAACGGGAACGCUGGCUCCAUGCGUGCGGCCUGCCGUGCCGUGCCUUCUUGCGCAGCGUCUCAACCAAACCGUUUCCUUCCUUCUGCCAAAACAGCGUGUGGUUGAGUGACGACCGCUAACGAAGCAAUGGCACCUGUGUCUUUGUGCGGUGCGGCCUCUUCCGUGGAUAAUGCCCGCCGUAAUUAGUCCAUUUUACUUGGACAUGGACUCUGUGCCGGUACCGAUUACGAUAGGGAGAGAUGCUGAGUUGCUGACACCCUUCAAAGAAUACAGAAUAAAAUUAGUGAGCAGCACAUGAGGGACGUGCUAAGCAAAAUAACCUGGAAACCGCACUAACAUUACGUUUUUUGGGGCUAUUAAUUCAGCUCCCUUCAGUUCUCGAUUUGCACAGCAAAUUUCAAUCAUCAAUAACCCCAAAAAAAACGUUCAAACCGAAAUUCUGUGCAGCCCACUAGUCCUCUCCCAUCCAGGCGUGCUGAUGAGCUUAAUUCCAGGCCCAUCUUCAGUUCCCUAACAUUCUAAGGCCCACUUAAAGUAACAUACUCAUUCCAUGCAGGGAAUAAAUCCACUUUGAGUCCCUCAAGAAUGGUCCAAUCUUAUUUGUAUCCCUCGAUCGCAAUAAUGGAUAUCUUGACCCCUCAACUAUGAAAACCGGUGCAAUUUGUCUCCCUCGGCUAUUUUAAGGGCGGCUUUCGUUGACGUGGCGUUCACAUGGCAGUCUAGUCAUCAAAUAGAUUAAAAAUAAACAUGGAGCCCACAUGUAUGUGACAAAGGAAAAUAAAUGUGAGGCUUGCACAUCAGAAACCACCCUUAUUAUCCUCUGCUCUUCUUCCUUUCGCACAUGGGCGCAGGAACUCGUUGCCGUCUCUCCCCGUGGAGGCGAGUAGCAGUGAAGGCAGAGGAAGUUGAGGAGGCCGCUGCUGCCACUUAGGUCGCCUCUUCUAAUGCCAGAGCGCACCACCCUCCUUGUUGCGCCGGCCCGGCCUAUCGAACCUUGAGCCGCUCUGCCUCAGGUCCUCCUUAUCCAAGGGUCGCGGUGAGUGGCUGAGAUGGUCGACGAGAUCAGCACUGAUGCCGCCUUCCCUGCUCUCACCCCCCUCUGCUCCACCGCAUGAAAGGGCCGCUUGGUGGCAACAGGGGCGAGCUGUGUGGCAGAAGAACCAAUAGGGCGUCGAGAGGUAGCUGUGUGGGCAGCGGUAGGAUGAGAGAGAGAGAGAGAGAGAUGAAGAGGGACAGCGGGCAGUAGCAAGAUGAGGGGAAUCUCUAGCUCUCUAAUGCCUUCGCUGGCCAGGCCGCGCUAACCCCGUCACGCUGUCACCACCCAGGGACUCCAUCGUCGACCAAGGGGACCACCCCUAACGUCAUCACUAGAGGGCGGGCCUCUCAGCCACUAGUGCCAUCCUCGGCAUCCACAAGUCGUCACCAACACGCAGUUGUCUGGAUCUCACCCCAACCUCGCAUCAGGCGUGGUGUCGUCA
RNAcentral lists this small RNA (4508 nucleotides) under Oryza sativa Japonica Group (Japanese rice). Its description in RNAcentral is "sRNA Os01g0678950". The stretch from base 1 to 195 matches the Rfam family "MIR812 microRNA precursor family". Lineage: Eukaryota; Viridiplantae; Streptophyta; Magnoliopsida; Poales; Poaceae. The record is from RNAcentral.